CCUACGGGAGGCAGCAGUGGGGAAUAUUGGGCAAUGGGCGCAAGCCUGACCCAGCAACGCCGCGUGAAGGAAGAAGGCUCUCGGGUUGUAAACUUCUUUUAUCAGGGACGAAGCAAGUGACGGUACCUGAUGAAUAAGCCACGGCUAACUACGUGCCAGCAGCCGCGGUAAUACGUAGGUGGCAAGCGUUAUCCGGAUUUACUGGGAGUAAAGGGCGUGUAGGCGGGAAAGCAAGUCAGAUGUGAAAACCAUGGGCUCAACCUGUGGCCUGCAUUUGAAACUGUUUUUCGUGAGUACUGGAGAGGCAGACGGAAUUCCUGGUGUAGCGGUGAAAUGCAUAGAGAUCGCGCAGAACUCCGAUUGCGAAGGCAGCAUGCCGGCUCCACACUGACGCUGAGGCACGAAAGCGUGGGUAUCGAACAGGAUUAGAUACCCGUGUAGUC
This 443-nucleotide ribosomal RNA is filed under the name uncultured bacterium. RNAcentral's name for it is "partial 16S ribosomal RNA". It matches the Rfam family "Bacterial small subunit ribosomal RNA", at positions 338 to 795 of the family's 1533-position model. The record is from RNAcentral.